Non-coding RNA from Neolamprologus brichardi, 357 nucleotides. NCBI's taxonomy places the organism in Eukaryota, Metazoa, Chordata, Actinopteri, Cichliformes, Cichlidae. The record is from the annotation of a RefSeq genome assembly.
AUGGACUACAAGACAGGACUGCUGUUUUUAACUCUCUGCUGGGCAGGUGUUGAUGGUCAGACUCUGACUGAGUCUGAGUCAGUGGUUAAAAGGCCUGGAGAAUCCCACAGACUGACCUGUACAGCCUCUGGAUUCACAUUCAGUAGCUACUGGAUGGCCUGGGUCAGACAGGCACCUGGAAAAGCACUGGAGUGGGUUGCAAGCCAUUAUAACAGUGCUAACAUCCACUACUCUCAGUCAGUCAGAGGACGAUUCACCAUCUCCAGAGACAACAGCAGACAGCAGCUGUAUCUGCAGAUGAGCAGUCUGAGGACUGAAGAUUCUGCUGUUUAUUAUUGUGCUCGAGACUCACAGUGA